RNAcentral lists this transfer RNA (89 nucleotides) under Thermoleophilia bacterium. RNAcentral describes it as "tRNA-Ser". It matches the Rfam family "tRNA". Rfam says of the family: Transfer RNA (tRNA) molecules are approximately 80 nucleotides in length. Their secondary structure includes four short double-helical elements and three loops (D, anti-codon, and T loops). Lineage: Bacteria; Bacillati; Actinomycetota; Thermoleophilia. The record is from RNAcentral.
GGAGGGGUGGCAGAGCGGUCGAAUGCGGCGGUCUCGAAAACCGUUAGGGGCCGUUAGGUCCCUCGAGGGUUCAAAUCCCUCCCCCUCCG